CCUACGGGUGGCAGCAGUGGGGAAUAUUGCGCAAUGGGCGCAAGCCUGACGCAGCGACGCCGCGUGAGGGAUGAAGGUCUUAGGAUCGUAAACCUCUGUCAGCAGGGAAGAACGGUCACUGUGCUAAUCAGCAUUGAAUUGACGGUACCUGCAAAGGAAGCACCGGCUAACUCCGUGCCAGCAGCCGCGGUAAUACGGAGGGUGCGAGCGUUAAUCGGAAUUACUGGGCGUAAAGCGCGCGUAGGCGGUCUGUCAAGUCAAGGGUGAAAUCCCCGCGCUCAACGUGGGAACUGCAUUUGAAACUGGCAAACUUGAGUAUGUGAGAGGAUAGUGGAAUUCCAGGUGUAGGAGUGAAAUCCGUAGAUAUCUGGAAGAACAUCAGUGGCGAAGGCGACUAUCUGGCACAUAACUGACGCUGAGGAGCGAAAGCGUGGGUAGCAAACAGGAUUAGAUACCCGAGUAGUC
Molecule: ribosomal RNA, 465 nt
Filed under: uncultured bacterium
Lineage: Bacteria
Description: partial 16S ribosomal RNA
Rfam family: Bacterial small subunit ribosomal RNA
Source: RNAcentral